Magallana angulata is the source of this 1795-nucleotide long non-coding RNA. RefSeq lists it as uncharacterized. The transcript has 7 exons. The record is from RefSeq and is a predicted model, not a curated record. Lineage: Eukaryota; Metazoa; Mollusca; Bivalvia; Ostreida; Ostreidae.
AAAUGGUACUGAGGUGACUGUCAAAGCCCGUGGGCCUCUUGUUAAUUUGACCAAAAUGUCUAUUGCAGGAUUUUUAUUUGUAAUAAUGAGAUUCGUUGUGCGAAAAUUUUAAGUGUUUGUGCGAAUAAACACUUCUUAGCCUCCAUGAAUUGUAAUUUAAAGCGACAGAUUUUCUUAAAUGGUCGGGUUCGUUGUACGAAAGAAAAGCAAGACUGUCGUCUGAACUGAGCUGUGAGGAAGCCUUGCAAAGCUGAAAUGUCGUCCUGUUGAACUUGUGAAGAAACUUGUGAAUAACAAAAACAUUUCAUGGUAGAAGGAAACGUUGUCUUGACAACCAAACAUUGAAAGCUGAUCAGUAUGGCAGUCUUUGAGUUUGCUGGGAUUAUUCAUGGUUUGUGCCCAUUGAACAGUGGAAGGUCUUUUCUGUACCACCAGUGUCCAUCAUUUACUGUGACAGGUGUGAUCCCAAUCUAAAGACCCGCGAACAAGAAGAGAAUUAAGCUGGAAGGAACAUUAAAUUUUGGUGAUGCUGAUCUCUUUUGAUGGAGUCCAUUAAUUGAUAUCAACUGGAUUUUAAUUCAGGACCAAAAGUGGGGUUCGGAAUUCUUCAGUAGAAUUUACAUGGAAGAACCUUUUUAGGUGAUUGAGUAAUGAAGACUGUGGGCAUUUUGUGUUGUUGCUCCCCGAAACCAAUCUGCUUUUUCUGACCAUCGGGCUCCAAGCUGUACCAUUAAUGGAGAAUAGAUUUAGGUAAUAGAACAGCGUCGGGUAAGUGAGAUUCCUUACUUUUUGUUUCAUUCUUUGAAUAUUAUAAGGUGAUAAAAUAUGGUCAAGCGUGAUCAAAUAUAUCAUGUAGUCCGAUAGGAUAUAUUGGAUUUGAUCACCCUUACCAUAGUUAUCAAUUGAUCACCUCAUAAUACCCAAAGAAUGAUUCCUUAAAUCUAAUCUUAAAAGCAUAAAGCCAAAAAAAACCAAACCUCUUUGCCAUGAUUUUGUUUACUACAUGGGAAGCCUAGGAUGUUUAGGAUUGCUUAUCAAAAAGAAAUACUUCUAAACUCCAUGUACCAGUAAGGAGUUUGGGAAUGGGGAUUUCAUUUUUUAAUUGUUGUUAAAAAUUAUGUUUUUAAAACUAUUUGACUCUAUUGGUUAAGUUUUACAGUGUUGCUUGGGUUAGCGAUGAGGCCCAAGGACCUCUUGUGUAAUUACUCUCUCUUUUUCAUAUCUUGCACUAUUUUCAGACACUUAAGGAGACAAAUAAAAUCAAAACAUCCUGUGAAACUGAUGGAAUUAAGAAAUUCUACAAGGAUGAAGUGAAGAAUUCAGUAGAACUUUCUGAAGGGUCAAGAGGUCAACUGACGGCUUGUCACAUGGAGCAUAUAACCUGAUCAUUAGUUGUCCCUCGUUGGAAUACCAGGCGUACAGUGUGAUAUAUUGACAUCCGUGUCUCUGGCAUCUAGAGUCUUCAUACUCAGGACCAGGCUGAAGGGGAUUGUUCUUAGCUGACCUUUAUCGACAGACAUAUCUGUACACCAAAACAAAGUGAAUUUAAAAAGAAAUUUAAAAAUCUGAUCUACUCCAUAAAUGAAAGGAAACCAUCAUCAUCGGAACAAAAAAAAAUUUUCAGAGGAAUAUUAAAACAACGUGUUCCCAUGACAUUUUGCGUGUUUACGAAAUACAUGUAUUACAGGUGACUGUGUAAAUAUAUUAUACCUGUCAAAUGAGUCACGGAUUGAUUAAAUGUGAAGAGUUUUCAAUUUGUAUCAACAUUGGUGACCAUAUAAAUGAAUAAAAAUUA